This 261-nucleotide ribosomal RNA is filed under the name uncultured bacterium. Its description in RNAcentral is "partial 16S ribosomal RNA". It matches the Rfam family "Bacterial small subunit ribosomal RNA", at positions 793 to 1055 of the family's 1533-position model. The record is from RNAcentral.
GUCCACACCGUAAACGUUGGGCGCUAGGUGUGGGAUCCAUUCCACGGGUUCCGUGCCGCAGCUAACGCAUUAAGCGCCCCGCCUGGGGAGUACGGCCGCAAGGCUAAAACUCAAAGGAAUUGACGGGGGCCCGCACAAGCGGCGGAGCAUGCGGAUUAAUUCGAUGCAACGCGAAGAACCUUACCUGGGUUUGACAUGCGCCGGAAAGCUCUAGAGAUAGAGCCCCUUUUAGUCGGUGUACAGGUGGUGCAUGGCUGUCGU